CCGACUAAGAAUGGGGAGGGGAAAUCCCCCCCUAAGUAAUUCCAACACAAAGAGCCCUCAGGACAAAGUAUUCUCCCCUAACUAUAGGGUAACAGCAAACCUCUGUGGGGAAAAUAACACAAAAGGAAAACGUAAGCCAAAGAAAUCUUAAGACAUACAAACUCUCUAAGCAGAGGCAUGCUGAGUUGACCAGUGACUCUCAGAUUCACCCGUCAUCAGAAGAAUGUAUUCGAACCUCCAACCAUGUGGAUGUGGGUGUGGAUGUGGAUGGAAGCGCUGGGGACGAGUGGGAACCAAGUCAAGUGAGUGGACCUUAACGACUGGAUGGAAAGGCGUGAAGAUACUCGGGCCAGUGUGUCAAGGUUAUAAACCGACGCGACAGCUUAGGGGCCAAGAGGUCGUCUCUGGAUUACAAGCAAAGCCACAAGGGGGACAGCUGCCCACAGGAAGGUUUAUGGUUAGGUCUGGAGCCCAGGAAGGGCGAGGGGUCAGAAAACAAAUUACACUAGAAAGUAGCUGAGGGAGGCGCCAAAAGCCUGAGCCUCAACGGCUGGCCACAGGACCUCCACAGAGGGCAGGGUUCCCCUCACCCCCCCCCCCCAAAAAAACCGAUCUUUUGGCGACCAGAGACACUAAGUCCCAACCUUCUCCUGACUCCGCUCCACUCAAAUCACCCCUCACCGAAACAGAAUUGGAGACGUGAAAAAAAAAAAAAUGUGCAGGAGACACCAACCCGGGAAAGGCUCCAGCUCUAGCAGCAGCCGCCCCAAAAGCAGCCGGUCCACACGCAGACGCUCCGACCUCGGCGCCGCAGCCACAGGCACCUGAGCUCCCCCGGCCGCCGUAGUUAGAGGAAAGGCCUCCCCUUCCAACCCAAUAAUCCACACUACGCCGGCUUUGAGGUCCCGCUGGACAAUUGGACUUCAACUCCCAGCGUGCCACGCAACGCAACGCCCUCUCCGGUAGCGCCUGAACUACAAGACCCAGGAUCCACUGCGCCCCUCAGUCUUCGCUCUCCUCCUGACACCCGCAAGACCCGAGAUGUAAUUUCGGAGGAGUCGCUAAAUUCCUUGGGCUAAUGCAGACCGAUAAAAAUACAGAUAUUCCUUGCUAUCCUGUUGUGAAGGUUCUCUAAGCCAAGCUAUAGUUGAAACUGUAGGUAAAUACUUAUAUAAGAUAUUAAGGAAUGUGGGAUGUCUGUCUGG
Canis lupus familiaris (dog) is the source of this 1205-nucleotide long non-coding RNA. RefSeq lists it as uncharacterized. Lineage: Eukaryota; Metazoa; Chordata; Mammalia; Carnivora; Canidae. The transcript is spliced from 3 exons. The record is from RefSeq and is a predicted model, not a curated record.